RNAcentral lists this ribosomal RNA (1375 nucleotides) under uncultured bacterium. RNAcentral describes it as "bacterial SSU rRNA". It matches the Rfam family "Bacterial small subunit ribosomal RNA", at positions 29 to 1391 of the family's 1533-position model. The record is from RNAcentral.
UUGAACGCUGGCGGCAGGCCUAACACAUGCAAGUCGAACGGUAACAGGAAGCAGCUUGCUGCUUCGCUGACGAGUGGCGGACGGGUGAGUAAUGUCUGGGAAACUGCCUGAUGGAGGGGGAUAACUACUGGAAACGGUAGCUAAUACCGCAUAAUGUCGCAAGACCAAAGAGGGGGACCUUCGGGCCUCUUGCCAUCGGAUGUGCCCAGAUGGGAUUAGCUAGUAGGUGGGGUAACGGCUCACCUAGGCGACGAUCCCUAGCUGGUCUGAGAGGAUGACCAGCCACACUGGAACUGAGACACGGUCCAGACUCCUACGGGAGGCAGCAGUGGGGAAUAUUGCACAAUGGGCGCAAGCCUGAUGCAGCCAUGCCGCGUGUAUGAAGAAGGCCUUCGGGUUGUAAAGUACUUUCAGCGGGGAGGAAGGUGUUGAGGUUAAUAACCUCAGCAAUUGACGUUACCCGCAGAAGAAGCACCGGCUAACUCCGUGCCAGCAGCCGCGGUAAUACGGAGGGUGCAAGCGUUAAUCGGAAUUACUGGGCGUAAAGCGCACGCAGGCGGUCUGUCAAGUCGGAUGUGAAAUCCCCGGGCUCACCCUGGGAACUGCAUUCGAAACUGGCAGGCUAGAGUCUUGUAGAGGGGGGUAGAAUUCCAGGUGUAGCGGUGAAAUGCGUAGAGAUCUGGAGGAAAUACCGGUGGCGAAGGCGGCCCCCUGGACAAAGACUGACGCUCAGGUGCGAAAGCGUGGGGGAGCAAACAGGAUUAGAUACCCUGGUAGUCCACGCCGUAAAACGAUGUCGACUUGGAGGUUGUGCCCUUGAGGCGUGGCUUCCGGAGCUAACGCGUUAAGUCGACCGCCUGGGGAGUACGGCCGCAAGGUUAAAACUCAAAUGAAUUGACGGGGGCCCGCACAAGCGGUGGAGCAUGUGGUUUAAUUCGAUGCAACGCGAAGAACCUUACCUACUCUUGACAUCCAGAGAACUUUCCAGAGAUGGAUUGGUGCCUUCGGGAACUCUGAGACAGGUGCUGCAUGGCUGUCGUCAGCUCGUGUUGUGAAAUGUUGGGUUAAGUCCCGCAACGAGCGCAACCCUUAUCCUUUGUUGCCAGCGGUUAGGCCGGGAACUCAAAGGAGACUGCCAGUGAUAAACUGGAGGAAGGUGGGGAUGACGUCAAGUCAUCAUGGCCCUUACGAGUAGGGCUACACACGUGCUACAAUGGCGCAUACAAAGAGAAGCGACCUCGCGAGAGCAAGCGGACCUCAUAAAGUGCGUCGUAGUCCGGAUUAGAGUCUGCAACUCGACUCCAUGAAGUCGGAAUCGCUAGUAAUCGUGGAUCAGAAUGCCACGGUGAAUACGUUCCCGGGCCUUGUACACACC